GGGGUCUGGCCACUGCACACAGCCAGGCACGCCAGCUGCUGCGGCAGGGCAUGCAGCUCCAGGAACCGGCACCGGCACCAGCUCCUUGCGAGGCUGCAGCUGGACCAGGUGUACCACAGGCGGCUUCCGCUGCAAGUACCAGGGUCUGGAUGAGGGGAACACAGUGGCACCCAAAAACCUGAGUGAGACGCCAGCAACCACAGAGGCCAAAGAGACUUCUUAAAGCUAAUUUCCAACUCUUCCUGCCUGCAAUGAAGAGCAAGAAGUGAUUAAACUGUUCAAUUGCACAAUCAACUGACAAACAACAAUCUACAUGACACCUUCAAGAAAGGGAUUAAUCUCCACAUGGCACAAAGAUACCAUCAAGGAUACAACAUACAUGAAGUUGUCACAUCUCUUUAAGCUCAUCUUAGCAGCCACUAUUCCUCAGAACUUUCUUUGGCUUUGAUGACCUUUUCAGUUUUUGAGAAGUAUUGGUCAGGGUAAUCUAUGCCUUUUGAACCACUCUUUACAAAAUCUUCAUCCUGCCUUUGCUACUAACAACUUCACCAAACCACUGGAAGAGGAACUAUAUGAGUGAAAAAAUCACAUCAUUCUUCCUCAGCAUUUGUAUUAGUUUGUUCUUAUGCUGCUGAUAAAGACAUACCUGAGACUGGGUAGUUUAUAAAGAAAAAGAGGUUUAAUGGACUCAACAUUUCCCCAUGGCUGGGGAGACCUCACAAUCAUGGGAGAAGGCAAAGGAGGAGCAAAGGCAUGUCUUACAUGGCAGCAGAAAUAUUGAAAUUGUUGGCAAAAUCUGUUGGAACAUAUUUCCUGGCAAAAGAGAAAGCAUGAACAUAAGAUGAAGUGAAUGUGAUCUUGGGGACAAAAAAGCAAGUUCAAUCUCCAACUCUAAGAAUUUAUUGAGUUAGCGGCAGCUACUUAUUGCGUUUUCUGUUUACUACUUUGCUUCUAAAUUUUACAUAUAUGUUUACGUCUGUAUUCAAACCAACUUAUAGGAAUAAUACACAUUUUACAACUGGAUUAUUCAUCAUAUUUAAGAAUUAUUUUUUGUCUACUGAAACCAAUUAUUAUUUAUAUUUACAGGCAGUUACAUUCUUUUUUAAAAUCUAUUUUCCUUUAUAUUGUCAAAAUCAUGAAUUUUUCUCAUGUGUUUCACAUAUAACUCAUAAGUGAACAAACAAAAGAGAGGAGUGUUUAACUUAUUUUAUGACCAACUUUUCUUUUCUUUUCUUAUACCAGAUAGUCAUCUGCUAUGAUAGAGGACUGCAGAAAUUUAAGAAUGGAUUUUGUAAAACAUUGUCAAACUUAGGUGCUAAGCCAAAUGUUAUAAUAAACCACACCAAUAUCAAGAGUGAAAAAUGUCAACAAAUAACUGGCAAGGGUGUUAAUAUCUUCAGUUUUAAUAUUUAUCUGCAAUAUUGUUCAUAUCUUCAUUUUCUACUCAGGAUGUGAUGUAGUUCAAUUUGAAAUUGUGAGAAUGUGAACUAGGUAGAGCACGUUAAUAAAAGUUUAGCUAGUUCUACUUUGGGAGGCCGAGGCAGGCGGAUCACGAGGUCAGGAGAUUGAGACUAUCCUGGCUAACAUGGUGAAACCCUGCCUCUACUAAAAAAUACAAAAAAAUUAGCUGGGCUUGGUGGCAGGCACCUGUAGUCCCAGCUACUCAGGAGGCUGAGGCAGGAGAAUGGCAUGAACCCAGGAGGCAGAGCUUGCAGUGGGCCGAGAUCGCACCACUGCACUCCAGCCUGGGAGACAGGGAGAGACUGCUAUUUUUCCCAUAGCAGUAAGGGUCAAUUUACAGUCACUAUAUUGGCCAAACUAAGUCUCGUAAUAAAUACUGACAAAUCAUUAUCUAUAGAAUAGUUAAGCACUUUGUCACUCCAUUAAUAUUUCCUGAGACAUACCAAAAUUAUUUCCUUCAUUAGUGUUUUCUUUGUUGAACUUAAAAGAAUAUUUUGAACUUUAUCUUCAUUUUCUAUCAGUUCACUUGAACCUUGGCUUAGUUCUCAAAUAUGUAGGAACAGGGUUAAAUCCUCAAAAUUUGGCUAAUAAGAAUUAUUUUUACUAUUUAUUCAAUUUUAUUCAGUUAAUAUUUCAAUAUAAACAGUGAAAACAACCAACUUAAUUUUUUAUAAUACAGGUCUCAGAGAUAUCGCCUGUGAUUCAUUUAGUUUAAGCCUUCCCAUUUGAAACUGCUGCAGAACUCAUAUUUUCUGUUUCUUAAAGUUGAGAUUGAUAUAAAUCAUAGAAAAUUUAAAAACAUGUCUCUUAAUAUUAACAGUUAACUGGUAUAGUGACCAUAACUAAUCACAUUCAUCUUUGGUGAAUCACAUUGAAAUUAAUGAGAAAAUAACUUUAGGAACCAAAAUUAGUGACUGAAAAGCAUUUUAUUAGCCAAUUGUUUGAAGGCAUGUAGAGAUAAUAAAGAAAAUCUGAGAAGAUGAAGAUUGCAGCAUAGUUUUCUAAAUCCUAACAUUAAAAAAACAGGAGAGCAAUUAUAUAUGUAAAACUCAAAACCCAUGAACACUGUUUACAAUAAAGUCUAGAGACAAGGUAUCCCUAUGAACCUCAAAAAGUGCAAAAGGCAAAUGACCACAAGACGUUCAUGUAAAUAUUAUAUGUGCAAAGAAAAAGUAGUGAGACUCAAUACAGUAUUUGAUAGUCAUGAUAAUAGGAGAAUCCUUAAAUAGCCAACAGCUAUUUAAUGGAAAACAUGGGGUCCAGUUUGAAAAUAACAGUUGAAAAAGGGAAGUAGUUUUGCCGAAUCCAAUAGCAGAUGAGUACAAGGAGUUCAUAGUGGUUCCCCAUGGCUGGAGCUGUAAUGUCACAGUAAACACUUAAAACUGAUCAGCUAAACUGUUUUCUAGGACAGGACAGCAAACUGAAGAGAAAUCGUUUGAAAUGGAAUCAAAGUAAGCCAAUUAGAGGCAACAACAGAACAAAAGAAAGAGAAGCUACAGAUAAAAGUGGAAAAAAAAAGAUAGAUUAUAGAUACAAGUGGAGAAAGGAAACUGUAUCAGAAAAUUUCAGAGUGCAAAACCACCAUAUUUUCUAGCAGUAUACCAAAAGUGACCACACACAGAGCUCUGUGUCAUUAGAAAAUUUAUCCUGUAGCAUGCCUACUUCAGUUUCGAAAAAUUAAAUUUACAUAACAAAUUGAGUUUUAAUUUAACAAAAAAAGCUAUUGUAAGGAAUAAACAAGGAUAACAAGAAGAAAAACAUACUUUUAGAAAAUAAAAGCAUGCUAAAAUGUCAGGCUUUCAGGACAUCUUAAAACCGUAGAUUAUUUCUAUUUGAAAAUGGUCUAUUAAUAAAUAACAUUAAGAAAUAAUAAUGAGACUAGUAUUUUCCUGAUAUUAAAAGAAGAUCAAAGACAUCAGGUAAAAAGAAAGCUACAGACAGAUGUCUUUUAUGAAUGAAUAUACGCACAAAAAUGCCCUUGUCAAAUACUAGUAGCACUGAAUCAAGCAACAUAUACAGAUGUGUGGACACCAUAUACAAAUGGAUCUAUUUCAGAAAUGUAAUAUUGGUUUAAUAUGUAAAAAAUUAAUAUAGUACACCAUAUCAGUAGAACAAAGGUCAAAAACCACUUGAUCAUCUCAAUAGAUGCAAAGAGUAAAAGUAUUUGACAAACUCUGAUUCAUUUUCAUGAUUAGAACCACACGCACACACACACAUAAAUACUAGGAGGGAACUUCCUCAAUCUGAAAAAGAGGAUUUACAAAAAAUCAACAGCUCACCUUGUACUUAGUGAUUAAUGAAUGACUCAAUGAUCUUCCAAAAAGAAGAAGGCAUGAAUAUCUAUUCUUGCAGACUUCUAUUCAACAUUGUACUGGAGGUGCCAGCCAGGACAUUUAUGUAAAAAUAUGAGAAAAAAAGUAAUCUAGAUUGAAAAAGAAUAAAGAAAAUCAUCUCAAUUCAUAAAUGUCAUGAUGUUGCAUAUGGAAUAACUUAAGAAAUCAACUAAAAAUCAAAGAGAACUAAUAAAUUAGUUCAGCAGAAUUUCAGGAUACAGGAUAAAAUAAUCAACUAUAUUUUUACACACCAGGAAUGAACAAUUCAAAAUGAUAUUAAGAAAAUAAUUCCCAGCCAGGCAGGUAAUCCCCACACUUUAGGAGCCAAAGGCAGGAAAACGGUAUGAAACCAGGAGUUUGGGACCAGCCUGGGCAAUAGCAGGAGUGUCUCUAUAACAAACAGAGAAAUAAACAGACAAACAAACUAAAAACUUAGUUGGUCGUGUUAGUCCUAGCUGCUCAGGAGGCUAAAGUGGAGAACCACUUGAGCCCAGGAGUUCAAGUUUACAGUGAGUUAUGAUCAUGCCACUGUACUUCAGUCUGGGCCACAGAGCAAGACUGCAGGAAAAAAUCCAAUUUAAUAGCAUCUGAAAGAAUAAAAUACUUAGCAAUAAAUUUAACAAAAGUGCAAAAGUGGAAUCUUAUACACUUAGAACUGCCAAACAUUGUUAAAAUAAGUUAAAGAAAAUGUAAAUAAAUGGAAAGACACUCUAUGUACAUGGCAAAGAGACUAAAUAUUGUUAAAAUGACAAUAUUUCCUAUUAUUGUCAUUUUAACAAUUAAUGCAUUAGUGCAAUCUCUAACAAAAUCCCAGCUGGCUUCUGGAAAUUGACAAGCUGGUACUAAAAUUUAUAUGGAAGUUCUGGGGAACCAGAAUAGCCAAAACAAUCUUGGGAAUGAAAAGGAACAAAACUGGGUAACUUCUACUUAUUGAUGUCAAAGUUUACUACAAAACUUAACACAAUGUGGUACGCGCAUAAAGAGACACAUACAACUCAGUGGAGUAGAACUGAGCAUGAAAAUAAAAGCACAAAACAGAAAGAAAGAUCAUCUUUGCAAAUCAUAUCUUUGAUGAGGAAUUUGUAUCCAGAAUAUAUAAAGAGCUUUUACAACUCAUUAUUAAAAAUAACUCAAUUUUUAAAAAAUUAACAAAGAAUCUGAAUAGAUUUUUUUUCCAUAGAAGAUAUAGAAAUGAUUAACAAGCACAGAAUAAGACCUUCAAUAUCAUUAGAGAUUAUAACAUUGCAAAUCAAAACCACAAUAUGCUACUUUACACCUACUAGAAUGACUAUAAUGAAAAAGACAGAUAAUAGCAUAUUUUGCCAAAGAUGUGGAAAAAUUAGAACUCACAUAUUGCCAGUGAGAAUGUAAAAUGUUACAGCCACUUUGGGAAACAGCCUGGCAGUUCCUUAAAAUGUUAAACAUAAAUUUAACAUGUGAUCCACCAAACAUAUGUCCACACAAAAACUUGUACAUGAAUGUUUUUAGAAACGUUUAAUAACCAAAAAGUGUAAACCACCUUAUUGCUCAUCAACUGAUCAAUAAAUAAUAUGUGGUAUAAACAGAAAGUGAAAUAUUAUUCAGCAGAAAAAGAAGGAAUUACUGACUAGUACAUUCCACAAAAUUUGAAUGGUUCUUGAAAAUAUUAAAUGAAUGAAAAAAGCCAGUAACAAAAGAUCACAUAUUAUAUAAUUCCAUUUUCAGAAAGUGUAUAGAAUAGAUAAAUUUAUAGAGAAAGAAAGUGGAUCAGUAGGUAUUUUUUUUUAAUGUAACCUGGUGUGUAAUAUGGGAAAUUAGAGACUCAAUGCUAGAAGACAUAAGGUUUCUUUUGGGGUGAUAAAACUGUUCUCCAGUGGAUUGUGGUGACGGUUACACUACUCUGAGACUAUACUAAAAACCAUUGAAUUGUACAAUUCAAAUGGGCAAAUUGUGACAUGUGAAUUCAAUCUCAAUAAAUCUAUUACCAAAUAAAUUAUGCAAUGUUUCAGACUAAAUGUAUUAAAUCAUGUGCACAAGUUUUCUUUACAUUGCAAAAUAUAAAAUACUGCUAAAAGAAACAAAACAUAAACU
Molecule: long non-coding RNA, 5864 nt
Organism: Homo sapiens (human)
Lineage: Eukaryota; Metazoa; Chordata; Mammalia; Primates; Hominidae
Source: Ensembl